Molecule: long non-coding RNA, 209 nt
Filed under: Phaseolus vulgaris (common bean)
Lineage: Eukaryota; Viridiplantae; Streptophyta; Magnoliopsida; Fabales; Fabaceae
Description: long non-coding RNA (PVUL_LNC000297)
Source: RNAcentral
UUUUCUCUAGGACUCUUUUGGUGUGCCUUCUUUCUUCAUUGAGUUCUUUAUUUUCUUGCUUGUCUUUCAUUCAUUAAUCUUUGAGUUUGUCUUACAUAUAGUAUUCCUUUUGCAAUUACCUUUCUUUGCUUAUACCUUUUCUUGUUUGUCAUUCUUUCUUCUUUGGUUUUGUGGUGAAGUACUUUCAAGAUUGUGUGCUCUUGCUUUGG